AUUGAACGCUGGCGGCAUGCCUUACACAUGCAAGUCGAACGGCAGCACGGGUGCUUGCACCUGGUGGCGAGUGGCGAACGGGUGAGUAAUACAUCGGAACAUGUCCUGUAGUGGGGGAUAGCCCGGCGAAAGCCGGAUUAAUACCGCAUACGAUCUACGGAUGAAAGCGGGGGACCUUCGGGCCUCGCGCUAUAGGGUUGGCCGAUGGCUGAUUAGCUAGUUGGUGGGGUAAAGGCCUACCAAGGCGACGAUCAGUAGCUGGUCUGAGAGGACGACCAGCCACACUGGGACUGAGACACGGCCCAGACUCCUACGGGAGGCAGCAGUGGGGAACUUUGGACAAAGGGCGAAAGCCUGAUCCAGCAAUGCCGCGUGUGUGAAGAAGGCCUUCGGGUUGUAAAGCACUUUUGUCCGGAAAGAAAUCCUUGGCCCUAAUACGGUCGGGGGAUGACGGUACCGGAAGAAUAAGCACCGGCUAACUACGUG
Molecule: ribosomal RNA, 486 nt
Filed under: uncultured bacterium
Lineage: Bacteria
Description: partial 16S ribosomal RNA
Rfam family: Bacterial small subunit ribosomal RNA
Source: RNAcentral